AUAGGCACUAUGAGGAAAUGCAUUCUUUCAAUCUGCAAGAUCAACUGAUCAAUGAGCAGAAAAAUUUAGUCCUUUUCAUUCUGAGUGCCUG
This is a non-coding RNA of Musa acuminata subsp. malaccensis (wild Malaysian banana), 91 nucleotides long. The record is from Rfam. NCBI's taxonomy places the organism in Eukaryota, Viridiplantae, Streptophyta, Magnoliopsida, Zingiberales, Musaceae.